This is a long non-coding RNA of Parus major (Great Tit), 1005 nucleotides long. RefSeq lists it as uncharacterized. NCBI's taxonomy places the organism in Eukaryota, Metazoa, Chordata, Aves, Passeriformes, Paridae. The record is from RefSeq and is a predicted model, not a curated record. The transcript has 2 exons.
CCCGGCUUCUCCGGGGCGAGAUAAACACAUUUCGGUCACGUGGCGAGCCUAUACGGUGCCAUGCUCCUAUUUGCCUUCACCGCUCGCUUUUCGCUUUUCACAAUAACAUGCCAUCCGCCAGCCAGCUCCGAGGCUAACCUCACCUCCCUGGCGCCCGGCCAGCCCGCCCGGGCCCGGCCGUGCAGGGAGAAGCCGCGACUCCCGCGGGGAGGUUGCACCCCGGCCUGGGGCUGGCAGCUGCCCAAGCCAGAGCUGGGGAAGCGUCCGGCUGCAUCCCGGUUUGGGGCUGGAACGGGAGCUGGCUGCACGGGGGCGAGAGCCGGGGCCAGGACUGGCCACAUCCCCAGGACGGGGCUCAGGAAGAGCGCGGUGUCCCCGCGGGGUGGAGUUUCGCCCGGGGACCGCAGGAUAUUAAGAAAGUUUAUGCUGCCUUGAAAACUACUCCUCUGUAAGAAAAACAUUCUGACCAUUUGCUGGAGGCCAUUUUAUGAAACCUCAAGGAGGUUAAUAGCUUGCAUAAUGUCAGGAAUACCACGUCUCUCCUUAAUCCUUCUCCUCAUUCUCUGCCAUUUACUCAGACAAACCAGGAGCUCUGUAGGCCAAGCACUCCUGUGACAGACAAUGGAUUCCUACCUAUCGGAGGGGCCUGCACCAGAAAACGGAUGGACUUCUUCCCUGCUCAGUUCACACAUGGUGCUGAGAGAAAACCUGCAAUGUGUCUGUGAGACUAAGGGACAUGAAAGAGGAGACAGCAAAAGGAGUCCAUCCUAAGUAUGGAGAUUGCGUUUUUCAUUUUGCUGGAAUUUGCUAUUUCAUCUAGAGAAGCACUGGUAGAUGUGGCAUGAAUGAAAUUGCGCUGCUGCGAAACAAAGCUGAGCAAACGGGAGAAAGAGAAUUAUUUGAACUGUUUCUAAAAUGUUGUCAUGUUUGUUAACAGCUGCUUAACUCCAGUGUCUAACAAGCUCUUGGAAAAUAAGUUUAUUAAUAAAAAAACGAAAAAGGCAA